AGUCUUGUGGCUCAGUGGUAGAGCACUUGCCUAGCAUGUGUGAGGCCCUGGGUUCAAUCCUCAGCACCACAU
This 72-nucleotide transfer RNA is filed under the name Ictidomys tridecemlineatus (thirteen-lined ground squirrel). RNAcentral describes it as "Spermophilus tridecemlineatus (thirteen-lined ground squirrel) tRNA". It matches the Rfam family "tRNA". Rfam says of the family: Transfer RNA (tRNA) molecules are approximately 80 nucleotides in length. Lineage: Eukaryota; Metazoa; Chordata; Mammalia; Rodentia; Sciuridae. The record is from Rfam by way of RNAcentral.